AAGGAAUCAAAAUUCUAGGGAUUAAUUCAAUCAUUAUGGAGCCCAACAACAACCAAGGCCUUAUACAAGUUGUUUCACAACAAAUUCAGAAUUUCAUUUCAAGUCAUGGGCCUAUCUCCUCUAUUGAAAAUCACAAAAGACCAUUUUGGUUCACAAAAAGAGGUUCAAAAAUACAAAUGGAUGUCGCAUUUCUAGCUUAA
Molecule: non-coding RNA, 200 nt
Organism: Vicia faba (fava bean)
Lineage: Eukaryota; Viridiplantae; Streptophyta; Magnoliopsida; Fabales; Fabaceae
Source: the annotation of a GenBank genome assembly